ACGGGUUACCGCUAGGGGUGUUAUAAUAAAAGGUGCUCGCUCUUGGCGCGCUUUCUCUUUCGCUCGGAGUCGCCGGAUGGAAGACAAGGCUGCGGAGCGGAGAGCGCGGAAGGCGGCGGCGGCGCGCUACAAUGCAGUGCGACGGGUUACCGCUAGGGGGUGUUAUAAUAAAAGGUGCUCGCUCUUGGCGCGCUUUCUCUUUCGCUCGGAGUCGCCGGAUGGAAGACAAGGCUGCGGAGCGGAGAGCGCGGAAGGCGGCGGCGGCGCGCUACAAUGCAGUGCGACGGGUUACCGCUAGGGGGUGUUAUAAUAAAAGGUGCUCGCUCUUGGCGCGCUUUCUCUUUCGCUCGGAGUCGCCGGAUGGAAGACAAGGCUGCGGAGCGGAGAGCGCGGAAGGCGGCGGCGGCGCGCUACAAUGCAGUGCGACGGGUUACCGCUAGGGGGUGUUAUAAUAAAAGGUGCUCGCUCUUGGCGCGCUUUCUCUUUCGCUCGGAGUCGCCGGAUGGAAGACAAGGCUGCGGAGCGGAGAGCGCGGAAGGCGGCGGCGGCGCGCUACAAUGCAGUGCGACGGGUUACCGCUAGGGGGUGUUAUAAUAAAAGGUGCUCGCUCUUGGCGCGCUUUCUCUUUCGCUCGGAGUCGCCGGAUGGAAGACAAGGCUGAGGAGCGGAGAGCACGGA
Molecule: long non-coding RNA, 678 nt
Organism: Dermacentor silvarum
Lineage: Eukaryota; Metazoa; Arthropoda; Arachnida; Ixodida; Ixodidae
Exons: 3
Source: RefSeq, a predicted model, not a curated record